RNAcentral lists this long non-coding RNA (464 nucleotides) under Homo sapiens (human). RNAcentral describes it as "long independently transcribed non-coding RNA 2107 (LINC02107)". The record is from RNAcentral. Lineage: Eukaryota; Metazoa; Chordata; Mammalia; Primates; Hominidae.
CCCUGGCGUGAAGGUGGCACUGUGACUAGCUCUUGCCGAUGGAAUGGGAGGAGUCAGUUAGAAAUUUUCAUAUGGUCAAAAUACCCAUGGAAUAUAUGAGUGGCAGCAGUAAACAAUCCUUGAAGUUCUUGCUUGUUUAACUUGACUGUUGGUGAUGCCCAAUGAGGCCCUGUCUGCUCCAAGCAAAUUACAUAAAAAAGAUGUGAAUAAAAACUCAUCAAAUACUAACAGAGACUGUGUCUAAGAUGCCAAUUGAAGACUGGAACAGCCAUAUGAGUGUGGGGUAUUCCUGGAAACCUGUUCUAGUAGGCACUGGAGAAGACACAGGAACCUCUCAAUACAGAAUAGACACACUUUGCACUCAGUAAUAAUGCACUAAUUGACGAAUAUAUUGACGGAGUGUUGGUUUGCUUCACAAUCUGCUGGUAAACAUAUUCAUUUUUGGGUGAAUUUCAGGCCUUAAA